Molecule: transfer RNA, 69 nt
Filed under: Marmota monax (woodchuck)
Lineage: Eukaryota; Metazoa; Chordata; Mammalia; Rodentia; Sciuridae
Description: tRNA.Ala
Rfam family: tRNA
About the family: Transfer RNA (tRNA) molecules are approximately 80 nucleotides in length. Their secondary structure includes four short double-helical elements and three loops (D, anti-codon, and T loops).
Source: RNAcentral
GUUUGUGGCUCAGUGGUAGAGUGCUUGCCUAGCACGCGUAAGGCACUGGGUUCGAUCCUCAGCAACACA